RNAcentral lists this ribosomal RNA (445 nucleotides) under uncultured bacterium. RNAcentral's name for it is "partial 16S ribosomal RNA". It matches the Rfam family "Bacterial small subunit ribosomal RNA", at positions 354 to 796 of the family's 1533-position model. The record is from RNAcentral.
GUGAGGAAUAUUGGUCAAUGGACGUAAGUCCGAACCAGCCAAGUAGCGUGCAGGAAGACGGCCCUAUGGGUUGUAAACUGCUUUUAUGCGGGGGUAAAGUGAGUGACGUGUCAUUCAUUGCAAGUACCGCAAGAAUAUGGACCGGCUAAUUCCGUGCCAGCAGCCGCGGUAAUACGGAAGGUCCUGGUGUUAUCCGGAUUUAUUGGGUUUAAAGGGAGCGUAGGCCGUCAGGCAAGCGUGUUGUGAAAUGUCGUGGCUCAACCAUGGACUUGCAGCGCGAACUGCCCGACUUGAGUGCGCGGAAAGCAGGCGGAAUUUGUGGUGUAGCGGUGAAAUGCUUAGAUAUCACGAAGAACCCCGAUUGCGAAGGCAGCCUGCUGUAGCGCUACUGACGCUGAAGCUCGAAAGUGCGGGUAUCGAACAGGAUUAGAAACCCUUGUAGUCC